Molecule: ribosomal RNA, 758 nt
Filed under: uncultured Tulasnellaceae
Lineage: Eukaryota; Fungi; Basidiomycota; Agaricomycetes; Cantharellales; Tulasnellaceae
Description: eukaryotic LSU rRNA
Rfam family: Eukaryotic large subunit ribosomal RNA (bases 632-758)
Source: RNAcentral
AACUCGGCCAUUUAGAGGAAGUACAAGUCGUAACAAGGUUUCCGUAGGUGAACCUGCGGAAGGAUCAUAGUAAUCGUCUUUGACGUUCGCUUUUCCCUCGUCCUCGGGACAUUAAGGUGCUCUGGUCGAGGAUAAACAACCCCUCUGACCGAGGUCAUACCCGUCGCCCCGUGUUACCUCCAAAAAAAACUUUUUUCCGAGGCACACCUUAAAGAUCGUUCCGCAUUGUGAGUCUAACACCAGUUGUAUAAACUUUUUACAACCGGUAGCGCUGGAUCCCUUGGCACGUCAUUCGAUGAAGACCGUCGCAAAUUGCGAUAAAGUGAUGUGAUGCGCAAGUCCACCACUUAUACGUGAAUCAUCGAGUUGUUGAACGCAUUGCACCGCGCCCUAAACCGGCUGCGGUAUGCCCCUUUGAGCGUCAUUGUAUUCCUUCGGGAGUCCUUUUACAAGGACCCGAGUUCAGAGUCCUCGGUCCUCUUCUGGAUCGUGUUCUCUUAGAUGCGUCGCACCGAUCGCCUGAUGGGUCCUCUAAUGCCUAAGCGUGGAGUUCCUUCAGAGUCCGACACGUACUUGACCAAGUGUUGAGCUUGCGUCACCAAGUCUGCCUAACAAGCAGUACUACAACACAUGACCUCAUUGGGGUAGGACAACCCGCUAGACUUAAGCAUAUUAAUCAGCGGAGGAAAAGAAACUAACCAGGAUUCCCUCAGUAACUGCGAGUGAAGCGGGAUCGGCUCAAUGUGUGAAUCUGGCGG